RNAcentral lists this ribosomal RNA (434 nucleotides) under uncultured Ruminococcus sp. RNAcentral describes it as "partial 16S ribosomal RNA". It matches the Rfam family "Bacterial small subunit ribosomal RNA", at positions 341 to 792 of the family's 1533-position model. The record is from RNAcentral. Lineage: Bacteria; Bacillati; Bacillota; Clostridia; Eubacteriales; Oscillospiraceae.
ACGGGAGGCAGCAGUGGGGAAUAUUGCACAAUGGGCGCAAGCCUGAUGCAGCGAUGCCGCGUGAGGGAAGAAGGUUUUCGGAUUGUAAACCUCUGUCAUCGGGGACGAUAAUGACUGUACCCGAGAAGGAAGCUCCGGCUAACUACGUGCCAGCAGCCGCGGUAAUACGUAGGGAGCGAGCGUUGUCCGGAAUUACUGGGUGUAAAGGGAGCGUAGGCGGGACGGCAAGUCAGAUGUGAAAUACAUGGGCUCAACCCAUGGGCUGCAUUUGAAACUGCUGUUCUUGAGUGAAGUAGAGGUAAGCGGAAUUCCUGGUGUAGCGGUGAAAUGCGUAGAUAUCAGGAGGAACACCGGUGGCGAAGGCGGCUUACUGGGCUUUUACUGACGCUGAGGCUCGAAAGCGUGGGGAGCAAACAGGAUUAGAUACCCUGGUA